GGAAGAUCCCCGUGGAGAAGGAAAUGGCAAUCCACUCCAGUAUUCUUGCCUGGAAAAUCCCAUGGACAGAGGAGUCUGGCAGGCUACAGUUCAUGGGGUCUCAAAGAAUGGGACACAACUGAGCAAUUUCACUUCUCACUCUCUAAAAGGAUAAUAUCCAUAGACGAAAACAAGUAAAAGUUACUAAUUUUUCUAGCACCACAUGAAAACACAUGAACAUUCCGGUUUUCAAAAUGACUGUCCAGGGUCCCCUAAAUCACCUCUGGGAAACACAGAUCCAGUUCGUCAUCAUUCCCAAUGCUCCUCACCCUGAGGCCUGCAGAGGAGAAGGCGUGGAUCUGAAGUCCCACAGGUAGCACUUCACAGUAGUGAGACCAUAUUCAGGUCUGAUCCCAGACUGGGGGUCUCCCUAGAAAACUCCCUGCUCUUCUCAUAAAUGCAGAGCCUUUCUCUAGCCAGCCCACUUCUCUCCCCACCAGGUCCCUCCUUCCCUUUGUCUCCUGCACCUGCACAUUUGCAGAUCAGCCACUAGAGGGCUCUUUGGGAUCAAGAUAUAGAGCUGUGGCAGCCCCAAAUGUUUCUCAGGGAAAUCCUCAAGCCACUGGGGUUCUGUCUCAAAAUGUCCUGAGUCUGACACAGCGAGACAGUGGCAUAGAAAGGCAGAGACCCAGGCAAGACCCACCUGACUUGACCCAGGUGAAAACACAGUUCACCACAAUCAUCCUCAGCAUCACUUCUUACUGGCACUUGCUAUAUGACAGGUGUUGUGCAAACGCUUGGCAUGUCUUAUCUCAUUUAAUCCUCAUCAUGAUGAGGAUGAGCUUUAUUUUUUGGGGCUCCAAAAUCACUGUGGAUGGUGACUGCAGCCAUGAAAUUAAAAGACGCUUGCUCCUUGGAAGAAAAGCUACUGACAAACCUAGACAGUGUAUUAAAAAGCAGAAUCAGUUUGCUGACAAAAUUCUGUCCAGUUAAAACUAUAAUUUUUCCUGUAGUCAUGUACAGAUGUGAAAUGGGAUCAUAAAGAAGGCUGAGCGCUGAAGAAUUGAUGCUUUCAAACUGUGGUGCUGGAGAAGAUUCUUGAGAGUCCCUUAGACUGCAAGAUCAGAUCAGUCAACCCUAAAGGAAAUCAAGCCUUAAUAUACACUGGAAGGACUGAUGCUGAAGCUUCCACCUGAUGCGAAGAGCCAACUCACUGAUGGAGGAAAAGAAGAACACAAAUUAAGUGGCUUGGGACUUCCCUGGUGGUCCAGUGCCUAAGACUUCACACCCCUCAAUGCAGGGGACGUGGGUUCUAUCCAGGGAACUAGUUCUCGAGUGCUGCAAGCAAGAGUUCGCAUGCUGCAACUAAAUAUCCUGAGUGCUGAAACUAAAGCCUGGCGCAGCCAAAUAAAUAAAUAAAGAUUUUUGAAAAAGUAAAGACAAAAGAGUAUUUACAAUAUUUACAUUUUUAAAAAGAACAAGAAGUUAAGUGGCUUGUAACUUAUGGCAGUGACUUCAAGUGGAGUCUCCCAGUUCAUGAGUGCUAGGGUCAGGAUUCAAUCCAGGGAUGCCUGACUCCAGAACUAUGCCUUAUAUUUGAGUUUUUGAAACUAAUCAUAAAUACAGGACAUCAGAAGAUUAAGGAACAGGAGCAACUAGGACUG
Bos taurus (domestic cattle) is the source of this 1643-nucleotide long non-coding RNA. The record is from Ensembl. Lineage: Eukaryota; Metazoa; Chordata; Mammalia; Artiodactyla; Bovidae.